GUYUUUUUGUUAAAAAUUUAAAGUCGGGCCUGCCCCCUGAAAUUUUAAAUGGCCGUGGUAUUUUGACCGUGCUAAGGUAGCAUAAUCAUUAGUUUUUUAAUUGAAAGCUGGAAUGAAGGGUUUGAUAAAAAAAUAACUGUCUCUAUUUAAUUUUAUUAAAAUUUUAUUUUUAAGUUCAAAAGCUUAAAUUAAAUUAAAAGACGAGAAGACCCUAUAGAGUUUAAUAAUAUAAAAUAAUUUUUAUUUUUGAAUUAAAUUAUUUAUUUUUUUAUAUUAUUUAGUUGGGGUGAUUAAAAAAUUUAAUUAACUUUUUUUAUAUUUUACCAUUAAUUUAUGAUUAUUUGAUCCAAUUUUUUGAUUAUAAGAUAAAAUUACCUUAGGGAUAACAGCGUAAUUUUUUUAGAAAGUUCAAAUUUAAAAAAAAGAUUGCGACCUCGAUGUUGGAUUAAAAUUAAAUUUUGGUGUAGAAGCUAAAAAUUUAAGUCUGUUCGACUUUUAAAAUUUUACA
Molecule: ribosomal RNA, 508 nt
Filed under: Calligrapha felina
Lineage: Eukaryota; Metazoa; Arthropoda; Insecta; Coleoptera; Chrysomelidae
Description: partial 16S ribosomal RNA
Rfam family: Archaeal large subunit ribosomal RNA (bases 382-508)
Source: RNAcentral